Molecule: long non-coding RNA, 438 nt
Filed under: Lathyrus oleraceus (garden pea)
Lineage: Eukaryota; Viridiplantae; Streptophyta; Magnoliopsida; Fabales; Fabaceae
Description: Pisum sativum (pea) long non-coding RNA (PSAT_LNC008700)
Source: RNAcentral
UUUAUAACCGAAUAUCCAUUUCCAUAAACCAAGUUACAACCAUUCUUAUUCUUUACAAUCACUUCAAUCAAGUUCAAAUUACAGCCAAAACCUAAUUACAUGGUCAUUUCUAAACCAAUACCAUUAUACAACCACUGCAAUUUCUAAUCCAAGGUUACAAGGUAACAUUACCACAUACAUUUCAUAAACUACAUAACCAUUACAACCAUUUCAUCACACUUCAAAUUCAAUAAUCUCAUACAUUUCUACUAUUACACAACAUGAACAUUUCAUAAACUACAUAACCAUUACAACCAUUUCAUCACACUUCAAAUUCAAUAAUCUCAUACAUUUCUACUAUUACACAACAUGAGCCAAUGCGACAAAGUCCGAAACAGCUCCAUUGCAUUUUACCAUCCAAGAUUCCAAGCAAGCCCCGAACUAAGCAACUCGCAUCCA